GGACCUCUAGCUCAACUGGCAGAGCAGUUGACUCUUAAUCAAUCGGUUCUGGGUUCGAGUCCCAGGGGGUCCACCA
RNAcentral lists this transfer RNA (76 nucleotides) under Chloroflexia bacterium SDU3-3. RNAcentral describes it as "tRNA-Lys". It matches the Rfam family "tRNA". From Rfam's summary of the family: Transfer RNA (tRNA) molecules are approximately 80 nucleotides in length. Lineage: Bacteria; Bacillati; Chloroflexota; Chloroflexia. The record is from RNAcentral.